GUAUUUCAGACACUAAACAAAUCAUUUUAUUUCCCCAGUAUAGGCGAUAAAAAAGGAACCAGGAGCAAUAGAGAUAGUACCGCGAGGGAAAGCUGAAAAAGAAGUGAAACAAAUCAGUCAAGCUAGAAAUAGCAGAGAUUUUUCCUUGUACCUUUUGCAUCAUGAUUUAGUCAGUGUCCCUCAAGCGAAGAGCACUUUAGUUUGUUUACCCGAAACUAUGUGAGCUACUCCAAGACAGCCUAUAAAUUAGGGCGAACCCGUCUCUGUGGCAAAAGAGUGGAAAGAGCUUUGAGUAGAGGUGAUAAACCUACCGAACUUAGUUAUAGCUGGUUACCCAAGAAGUGAAUAGAAGUUCAGCCUCCCGGCUUCUUAAUUCCCAUAAUAAACCUUAUCUAUAGACCAAAAAGAAACCGAGAAAGUUAGUCAAAGGAGGUACAGCUCCUUUGAAACAAGAUACAACUUUUUUAGAAGGGUAAAGAUCAUACUAAAUGAAGGAGAUAUAUUUUAGUGGGCUUAAAAGCAGCCAUCUAAUAGAAAGCGUUAAAGCUCAGAUAUUCCUCCCAUCCUAUUAUCCUGAUUACCUUAUCUUAACCCUCUAACCUUAUUGGGUCAUCCCAUGCCAACAUGGGAGUGAUUAUGCUAAAAUGAGUAAUAAGAAAGAUAGCCUCUUUCUCCUAACAUACGUGUACCUCGGAACGAACCCCCACCGAACAUUAACGGACCCUACCCCAGAGGGCACUAGGAUAAUAAGAAAACAGCAAGAAAAACACCAAGUACUAAACCGUUAACCCCACACAGGUAUGUUUCUAAGGAAAGACUAAAAGAAAGAGAAGGAACUCGGCAAACACAUUAAGCCUCGCCUGUUUACCAAAAACAUCGCCUCUUGAAAACUAAAUAUAAGAGGUCCUGCCUGCCCAGUGACCUAGUGUUUAACGGCCGCGGUAUUUUAACCGUGCAAAGGUAGCGCAAUCACUUGUCUCUUAAAUGGAGACCUGUAUGAAUGGCCCGACGAGGGCUUGACUGUCUCCUCUUUCCAGUCAAUGAAAUUGAUCUCCCCGUGCAGAAGCGGGGAUAACAACAUAAGACGAGAAGACCCUAUGAAGCUUUAGAUAUCAGGGCAGACUAUGUUUUUUACUCCUAAUAAAGAACCAAACUUAAUAGCCCCUGCCCAAAUGUCUUUGGUUGGGGCGACCGCGGGGAAGUAAAUAACCCCCAUGUGGCAGGGAGGACUAACUCCUACAACCGAGAGCUACAGCUCUAAGCAACAAAAUUUUUGACCAAUAAGAUCCGGCAACGCCGAUCAACGAACCGAGUUACUCUAGGGAUAACAGCGCAAUCCCCUUUUAGAGCCCCUAUCGACAAGGGGGUUUACGACCUCGAUGUUGGAUCAGGACAUCCUAAUGGUGCAGCCGCUAUUAAGGGUUCGUUUGUUCAACG
This 1437-nucleotide ribosomal RNA is filed under the name Diplectrum formosum (sand perch). RNAcentral describes it as "partial 16S ribosomal RNA". It matches the Rfam family "Bacterial large subunit ribosomal RNA", at positions 206 to 2586 of the family's 2925-position model. Lineage: Eukaryota; Metazoa; Chordata; Actinopteri; Perciformes; Serranidae. The record is from RNAcentral.